AUUGAACGCUGGCGGCAUGCCUUACACAUGCAAGUCGAACGGUAACGGGCCUUCGGGUGCCGACGAGUGGCGAACGGGUGAGUAAUGCAUCGGAACGUACCUUUCAGUGGGGGAUAACGUAGCGAAAGUUACGCUACUACCGCAUAUUCUGUGAGCAGGAAAGCAGGGGAUCGCAAGACCUUGCGCUGAUUGAGCGGCCGAUGUCAGAUUAGCUAGUUGGUGAGGUAAAGGCUCACCAAGGCGACGAUCUGUAGCGGGUCUGAGAGGAUGAUCCGCCACACUGGAACUGAGACACGGUCCAGACUCCUACGGGAGGCAGCAGUGGGGAAUUUUGGACAAUGGGGGCAACCCUGAUCCAGCCAUGCCGCGUGAGUGAAGAAGGCCUUCGGGUUGUAAAGCUCUUUCGGCCGGGAAGAAAUCGUAUGGGCUAAUACCCUGUGCGGAUGACGGUACCGGCAUAAGAAGCACCGGCUAACUACGUGCCAGCAGCCGCGGUAA
Molecule: ribosomal RNA, 498 nt
Filed under: uncultured bacterium
Lineage: Bacteria
Description: partial 16S ribosomal RNA
Rfam family: Bacterial small subunit ribosomal RNA
Source: RNAcentral